RNAcentral lists this ribosomal RNA (200 nucleotides) under uncultured organism. RNAcentral describes it as "partial small subunit ribosomal RNA". It matches the Rfam family "Bacterial small subunit ribosomal RNA", at positions 1183 to 1382 of the family's 1533-position model. The record is from RNAcentral.
CGUCAAGUCCUCAUGGCCCUUAUGUCCGGGGCUACACACGUGCUACAAUGGUCGGUACAAAUCGCUGCGAGCUCGUGAGAGUAAGCUAAUCGCAAAAAGCCGGCCUCAGUACGGAUUGCAGUCUGCAACUCGACUGCAUGAAGCUGGAAUCGCUAGUAAUCGCUGAUCAGCAGGCAGCGGUGAAUACGUUCCCGGGCCUU